Non-coding RNA from Theobroma cacao (cacao), 404 nucleotides. The record is from RefSeq and is a predicted model, not a curated record. NCBI's taxonomy places the organism in Eukaryota, Viridiplantae, Streptophyta, Magnoliopsida, Malvales, Malvaceae.
AAAUUAGCUAGGUCUCUAUUUUGCCAAGGAGAUUCAAGAAGGAACACGAAGAUAAAGAGGAACAUGAUUGCGAGUAUUUGGAGGUGAGUCCCAAAUAGAGAAUGCACUGCUGGAGUUCAUCCAUUUCUUUGUGAUUUCAGGGUAAUGUCGGUCUACCACAUCUUUCAAGCUCUCUGUUGUAUUUACCCGUUCGAAUCCCUUCUUUGUAUAUGUCUCCUUUGCUUGUAAAGAACAUGUCUGCCUCUAGCCUCUUGUGUCAGUACCCCAUCCAAACAUAUAGAAACACUCAUUAUUUUAGUUGCAUAACUUUUGUGUUUGCCUAAAUUUUACUAUCCUUAAUUCAAGCUAAUGUAAGUGCAAGGUGAAUUUCAUGAUUUGAAACAAGGAUCUUACUUCUUCACCAA